This 742-nucleotide ribosomal RNA is filed under the name Pseudomonas sp. Its description in RNAcentral is "bacterial SSU rRNA". It matches the Rfam family "Bacterial small subunit ribosomal RNA", at positions 73 to 811 of the family's 1533-position model. The record is from RNAcentral. Lineage: Bacteria; Pseudomonadati; Pseudomonadota; Gammaproteobacteria; Pseudomonadales; Pseudomonadaceae.
GUGGAGCUUGCUCCAUGAUUCAGCGGCGGACGGGUGAGUAAUGCCUAGGAAUCUGCCUAUUAGUGGGGGACAACGUUUCGAAAGGAACGCUAAUACCGCAUACGUCCUACGGGAGAAAGCAGGGGACCUUCGGGCCUUGCGCUAAUAGAUGAGCCUAGGUCGGAUUAGCUAGUUGGUGAGGUAAAGGCUCACCAAGGCGACGAUCCGUAACUGGUCUGAGAGGAUGAUCAGUCACACUGGAACUGAGACACGGUCCAGACUCCUACGGGAGGCAGCAGUGGGGAAUAUUGGACAAUGGGCGAAAGCCUGAUCCAGCCAUGCCGCGUGUGUGAAGAAGGUCUUCGGAUUGUAAAGCACUUUAAGUUGGGAGGAAGGGCAGUAAGUUAAUACCUUGCUGUUUUGACGUUACCGACAGAAUAAGCACCGGCUAACUCUGUGCCAGCAGCCGCGGUAAUACAGAGGGUGCAAGCGUUAAUCGGAAUUACUGGGCGUAAAGCGCGCGUAGGUGGUUUGUUAAGUUGGAUGUGAAAGCCCCGGGCUCAACCUGGGAACUGCAUCCAAAACUGGCAAGCUAGAGUACGGUAGAGGGUGGUGGAAUUUCCUGUGUAGCGGUGAAAUGCGUAGAUAUAGGAAGGAACACCAGUGGCGAAGGCGACCACCUGGACUGAUACUGACACUGACGUGCGAAAGCGUGGGGAGCAAACAGGAUUAGAUACCCUGGUAGUCCACGCCGUAAACGAUG